This 18-nucleotide small nuclear RNA is filed under the name Arabidopsis thaliana (thale cress). RNAcentral describes it as "snRNA_18661". Lineage: Eukaryota; Viridiplantae; Streptophyta; Magnoliopsida; Brassicales; Brassicaceae. The record is from RNAcentral.
AAACCCGUCUGAUAGCGC